This 1359-nucleotide ribosomal RNA is filed under the name Triticum aestivum (bread wheat). RNAcentral's name for it is "partial small subunit ribosomal RNA". Lineage: Eukaryota; Viridiplantae; Streptophyta; Magnoliopsida; Poales; Poaceae. The record is from RNAcentral.
AUGCUGUUGCCCGCUGCUUCCUCGCCUCCCCUGUCGCGGGUGGCGACCUCCAGCGCCCACGGCGAGGACUCCCCCUACUUCGCCGGGUGGAGGGCCUACGACGACGACCCCUACGACGCCGUCACCAACCCCGGCGGCGUCAUCCAGAUGGGCCUCGCGGAGAACCAGGUCUCCUUCGACCUCCUGGAGGGGUUCCUCAGGGAGCACCCGGAGGCGGCCGGGUGGGGCGGCGCCCGCCCCGGCUCCGGCGUCGCCAGCUUCCGGGACAACGCCCUCUUCCAGGACUACCACGGCCUCAAAACCUUCCGGAAGGCGAUGGCGAGUUUCAUGGAGAAGAUAAGGGGCGGAAAGGUGAGGUUUGACCCUGACCGCAUCGUGCUCACCGCCGGCGCGACGGCGGCCAACGAGCUGCUCACGUUCAUCCUCGCCAACCCGGGAGACGCGCUGCUCAUCCCUACGCCGUACUACCCGGGGUUUGAUCGGGACUUGCGGUGGAGGACGGGGGUGAACAUCGUGCCCGUGCACUGCCACAGCUCCAACGGCUUCCAGGUCACGGUCGCCGCGCUCGAGGCGGCGUACGAGGAGGCCGCGGCGGCGGGGAUGAGCGUCCGCGGCGUCCUUCUCACGAACCCGUCCAACCCGCUCGGCACGACGGUGGAGCGGUCGGCGCUGGAGGACGUCCUCGACUUCGUCGUGCGCAAGAACAUCCACCUCAUCUCCGACGAGAUAUACUCCGGCUCCGUGUUCGCCGCGCCGGACCUCGUCAGCGUGGCGGAGCUCGUCGAGUCGCGCGGCGACGACGUCGCCGGGCGCGUGCACAUCGUGUACAGCCUCUCCAAGGACCUGGGGCUCCCGGGGUUCCGCGUCGGCGUGGUGUACUCGUACAACGACGCGGUGGUCACGGCCGCGCGGCGCAUGUCCAGCUUCACGCUCGUGUCGUCGCAGACGCAGAAGACGCUCGCCGCCAUGCUCUCCGACGCCGCGUUCGCACAGGAGUACAUCCGCACCAACCGCGAGCGCCUCAGGGUGCGGCACGACCACAUGGUGGCCGGGCUGGCCCGCUCCGGCGUGCCGUGCCUGCCCAGCAAUGCCGGGCUGUUCGUGUGGAUGGACAUGCGGCGGCUGCUCCGUGACGGCGGUGAGGCCACGGUCGCCGACGAGCUGCGGCUGUGGGACCUGAUGCUGCGCGAGGUGAAGCUCAACAUCUCGCCGGGGUCGUCGUGCCAUUGCUCGGAGCCCGGGUGGUUCAGGGUGUGCUUCGCCAACAUGAGCCUGGACACGCUGGACGUUGCACUGGCGAGGAUGAGCCGCUUCAUGGACAGGUGGAACAAGGCGACAACGCUGCAGGAACAGCACUAG